RNAcentral lists this transfer RNA (77 nucleotides) under uncultured Desulfobacterium sp. RNAcentral's name for it is "tRNA-Arg". It matches the Rfam family "tRNA". From Rfam's summary of the family: Transfer RNA (tRNA) molecules are approximately 80 nucleotides in length. Their secondary structure includes four short double-helical elements and three loops (D, anti-codon, and T loops). The record is from RNAcentral. Lineage: Bacteria; Pseudomonadati; Thermodesulfobacteriota; Desulfobacteria; Desulfobacterales; Desulfobacteriaceae.
GCGCCUGUAGCUCAGUAGGAUAGAGCAGCGGACUUCUAAUCCGCAGGUCGGGGGUUCGAAUCUUCCCAGGCGCGCCA